This is a non-coding RNA of Apiosordaria backusii, 109 nucleotides long. NCBI's taxonomy places the organism in Eukaryota, Fungi, Ascomycota, Sordariomycetes, Sordariales, Lasiosphaeriaceae. The record is from the annotation of a GenBank genome assembly.
GGCCGUGUAGCGCAAUGGUAGCGCGUUACUUUCCGGUUUCAAUUCACUUGUUAUGAGUGGUUAAAUCUCCUGCUGGUAAAGGUUCUGGGUUCGAGUCCCAGCAUGGUCG